GGCUAUAUAAACGAGACCUCGAUCACCGUUUUCACCCACACAACUCGACACCCACAAACCCCCUCUACUCUCAUUCGAACAGGGUCACAUUCAUCGGAGAGUUACGAUACCUUUGCCGGAGAAAACCAAAGCCGCCGGAGUUCGGAGGAAGCCGUUUCGAAGUCACCGGAGACAUACGGAGUUCACGACGAGAACGUCCUUUAUUUCGGUAGUGAGUUUUCGUUUGGGUUGUUGACGAAGAAGGUGAUAUAGUUGGUUACGUCGUUCCUUCCGUUCGUCCAAUGGUUUGGAGGUUGUUUGGGAAUGUUAAGGUUGAUUAGUACAAGACUCAAGAAACAAGCUUGGAUGGCUUUAGAUACCCAUUUUAGCAAUUAAACAAUGUUUGAAUUUAUGUUUACUAUUUGAAACAAUGUAUUUUUCUUUAGCUUUAAUAAAAUGACUUUAAUUCAUAUUGUC
This 456-nucleotide long non-coding RNA is filed under the name Helianthus annuus (common sunflower). RNAcentral describes it as "hypothetical non coding rna". Lineage: Eukaryota; Viridiplantae; Streptophyta; Magnoliopsida; Asterales; Asteraceae. The record is from RNAcentral.